CUUAGAAGCAGCCAUUCAUUUAAAGAGUGCGUAACAGCUCACUAGUCAAGAGAUUUUGCGUGGAAAAUGUAACGGGGCUAAAGUGUUAAACCGAAGACAUGGACUUCUGCCUAUGCAGGAGUGGUAGAGGAGCGUUGAUAUCGCAGUGAAGUCAGAUUGGAAAGUCUGGUGGAGCGUUAUCAAGUGAGAAUGCUGGAAUUAGUAACCUUAAGACAGGUGAGAAUCCUGUCGGUCGUAAGAGCAAGGUUUCCAGGGCUACAGUAAUUGCCCCUGGGUUAGUCGGUCCUAAGCCGAGGCGUAUCAGCGUAGGCGAUGGACAACAGGUUAAUAUUCCUGUACAGGUAGUAGUUGUGAACAGUUCACGGUGAAUGACUGGAGCGGAUUAAUGGUUUAUCCGUCCAAGUCUUUAGGGAACUAAAGAUGAGUGAAAGGUAAUCUUCGGAUUAUUGAUUCUGGGUGAAGCACUGGCUAGAAAAGCUGGUUCACUUAUGCUGCUGCCUACCGUACCGCAAACCAACACCGGUGCUCGGGUCGAGUAGACCAAGACCUACGUGAGAACCUUCGCUAAGGAACUCGGCAAAAAAGCGUCCGUAACUUCGGAAUAAGGACUGCCCUCUCAUUAAGAUGAGGAUUUGCUAGAAACUCAGCAGAAGAUUCAGAUUACCUUUUAACUGAAUUUUUCGUUGAGACAGAACACAAAACAGGAUUUGUUUAACAAAUUCGUGUCUUUCCUAGUAGUCUAAUCGUCAUUUUGAUGAGAGGGCCGCAGCUAAAGAGCCCACGGAACUGUUUACCAAAAACAUAGGUCUCUGCUAACGCGAAAGCGGAUGUAUAGGGGCUGACUCCUGCCCGGUGUCGGAAGGUUAAGGGGAGAGCUUUACGGUUCGAACUGAAGCCCCGAUGAACGGCGGCGAUAACUAUGAUCGUCCUAAGGUAGCGAAAUUCCUUGUCUGGUAAGUUCAGACCCGCACGAAUGGAGUAAUCAUGUGGGCACUGUCUCGGCGAAGGCCACGGUGAACGUGCAUUGGCGGUAAAGAUGCCGUCUGAUCAUGCCAGGACGAGAAGACCCCAUGGAGCUUUACUACAACUUUGCAUUGAUUAUUGGGACAUUUUGUGUAGAAUAGGUGGAAGACUUUGAAGCAGAUACGCUAGUAUUUGUGGAGUCGAAAUGUGAAAUACCACCCUGAAUGUUUUAGUAAUCUCACUUUUGACCUGACCGGCCAAAAGGACCGUGCAUGGCGGGUAGUUUAACUGGGGCGGUUGCCUCCUAAAGAGUAGCGGAGGCGUUCAAAGGU
RNAcentral lists this ribosomal RNA (1295 nucleotides) under human oral metagenome. Its description in RNAcentral is "bacterial LSU rRNA". It matches the Rfam family "Bacterial large subunit ribosomal RNA", at positions 1105 to 2317 of the family's 2925-position model. The record is from RNAcentral.